AUUGAACGCUGGCGGCAUGCCUUACACAUGCAAGUCGAACGGCAGCACGGGAGCAAUCCUGGUGGCGAGUGGCGAACGGGUGAGUAAUAUAUCGGAACGUGCCCAGUCGUGGGGAUAACGUAGCGAAAGCUACGCUAAUACCGCAUACGAUCUAUGGAUGAAAGCGGGGGAUCGCAAGACCUCGCGCGAUUGGAGCGGCCGAUAUCAGAUUAGGUAGUUGGUGAGGUAAAGGCUCGCCAAGCCGACGAUCUGUAGCUGGUCUGAGAGGACGACCAGCCACACUGGGACUGAGACACGGCCCAGACUCCUACGGGAGGCAGCAGUGGGGAAUUUUGGACAAUGGGCGCAAGCCUGAUCCAGCAAUGCGCGUGCAGGAUGAAGGCCUCGGUUGUAACGUAGCUUUGUU
Molecule: ribosomal RNA, 406 nt
Filed under: uncultured bacterium
Lineage: Bacteria
Description: bacterial SSU rRNA
Rfam family: Bacterial small subunit ribosomal RNA
Source: RNAcentral